RNAcentral lists this ribosomal RNA (394 nucleotides) under uncultured bacterium. Its description in RNAcentral is "bacterial SSU rRNA". It matches the Rfam family "Bacterial small subunit ribosomal RNA", at positions 28 to 423 of the family's 1533-position model. The record is from RNAcentral.
GACGAACGCUGGCGGCGCGCUUAACACAUGCAAGUCGAGCGGUAAGGCCCUUUCGGGGGUACACGAGCGGCGAACGGGUGAGUAACACGUGGGUGACCUGCCCUCAGCUCUGGGAUAAGCCUGGGAAACCGGGUCUAAUACUGGAUAUGACUCCAUGACGCAUGUUGUGGGGUGGAAAGCCUUGUGCGGCUGAGGAUGGGCCCGCGGCCUAUCAGCUUGUUGGUGGGGUGAUGGCCUACCAAGGCGACGACGGGUAGCCGGCCUGAGAGGGCGACCGGCCACACUGGGACUGAGACACGGCCCAGACUCCUACGGGAGGCAGCAGUGGGGAAUCUUGCGCAAUGGGCGAAAGCCUGACGCAGCGACGCCGCGUGAGGGAUGACGGCCUCGGCGU